UCAAGCGAACAAGGGCGCAGGGCGAAUGCCUUGGCACUGGGAGCCGAUGAAAGACGUGAUAAGCUGCGAUAAGCUUCGGGGAGCUGCAAAUAAGCAUUGAUCCGGAGAUUUCUGAAUGAGGAAACUCACCUGGGUUCAUACUCAGGUACGUUGUACUGAAAUUCAAAAUAGGUACAUCGGGGGAACCGCCUGAACUGAAACAUCUAAGUAGGGCGAGGAAGAGACAUCAAACGAGAUUCCGUAAGUAGUGGCGAGCGAACGCGGAAGAGGGCAAACCGGGAGUAGAAAUACUUCCGGGGUACGGACUGCUUUUAGGACUCGAUCUGUUAACCGAACGGCAUGGGAAGGCCGGUCAGAGAGUGUGAGAACCACGUAGGUGAAAACGGAAAGAGCUGCGCAGAUUCCAGAGUACGGCCAGACACGUGAAACCUGGUCGGAAGAUGGGGGGACCACCCUCCAACCCUAAAUACUACCCAGUGACCGAUAGCGUAUAGUACUGUGAAGGAAAGGUGAAAAGCACCCCGGGAGGGGAGUGAAAAAGAACCUGAAACCCUGUGCCUACAAGCACCUAGAGCACGUCAAAGUGUGAUAGGGUACUUUUUGUAGAACGGUCCGGCGAGCGAUUGUAUGCAGCAAGGUUAAGGACUUAAGGUCUGGAGCCGAAGCGAAAGCGAGUUUGAAAAGGGCGUUAAGUUGCAUAUAAUGGGCCCGAAACCGGGUGACCUACCCAUGGUCAGGUUGAAGUGGAAGUAAAAUUCCAUGGAGGACCGAACCGACCUCCGUUGAAAAGGCGGCGGAUGAACUGUGGGUAGCGGAGAAAUUCCAAUCGAACCCGGAGAUAGCUGGUUCUCCCCGAAAUAGUUUUAGGACUAGCCUCAAGUUAGAUACCUGGAGGUAAAGCACUGAAUAGCCUAGCGGCCGAGAGGUUAGCGAAGCUUAUCAAACUCAGAAUGCCAGAGUAUUGAUGCUUGGGAGUCAGACAGUGUCAGAUAAAUGUCAUUGUCAAAAGGGAAACAGCCCAGAUCUACAGCUAAGGUCCCAAAGUCAGGUUAAGUGGAAAACGAUGUGAAGAUACGCAGACAACCAGGAUGUUGGCUCAGAAGCAGCCACUCAUUCAAAGAGUGCGUAAUAGCUCACUGGUCGAGCGUCUUUGCGCGGAGAAUUUAACGGGGCUAAACCUGACACCGAAGCUUAGGCAAUCCAGCAAUGGAUUGGGUAGGGGAGCGUUGUAUACGCGGAGAAACAGUAGCGUAAGCGGCUGUGGAGUGUAUAGAAGUGAGAAUGCCGGAAUGAGUAGCGCGAAUGCAGUGAGAAUCUGCAUGGCCGAAAGCCUCAGGUUUUUGGAGGAAGGUUCGUCCGCUCCAAGUUAGUCGGGAGCUAAGGUGAGGCCGGAAGGCGUAGCCGAUGCACAGACGGUAGAGAUUCCGUCACCACCAAAAGAGUUAAGCACAGGGACACAUUUGAAGUCUCAGAGCCGGGUGUUGGUUCCGGUAGAGAUCGAGGGAAGUUAGUACCGAAGUCUGGGAUGGAGGAUGGCGAGAAAAGCUGUGUGUAUUUCUGAGGUGCCCGUACCGCAAACCGACACAGGUAGGUAGGAAGAAGAUUCUAAGGCCAACGGGAGAAGGGUUGUUAAGGAACUCGGCAAAUUGACCCCGUAACUUCGGGAGAAGGGGUGCUCCAGAGAUGGAGCCGCAGAGAAUCGGCCCAAGCAACUGUUUACCAAAAACACAGGUUUGUGCUAAAUCGAAAGAUGACGUAUACGAGCUGACGCCUGCCCGGUGCUGGAAGGUUAAGAGGAGAUGUGCAAGCAUUGAAUCGAAGCCCCAGUGAACGGCGGCCGUAACUAUAACGGUCCUAAGGUAGCGAAAUUCCUUGUCAGGUAAG
This 1884-nucleotide ribosomal RNA is filed under the name human gut metagenome. Its description in RNAcentral is "bacterial LSU rRNA". It matches the Rfam family "Bacterial large subunit ribosomal RNA", at positions 3 to 1980 of the family's 2925-position model. The record is from RNAcentral.